CACCGCGGCAGAGAGUCAACGGUUUGCAAUGAUCGCCGACGUUAUACCCGCUCGUACUUGUUUAUUUGGCGUUCUAGCGGCUACUUCCUUGAUUUUAUAUUUGUUGUCAAUUUGAAGUAAUAUUCGAUAAUUACAGCGAGAGGUGUAAAGCGUGAUUCGCGAUAAUUUCAUGAGUGAGAGGAACGCGAAAGAAACUAAUACGGAGGGCAAUAUAAACGGGCUUGUGAGAAGCAUCUCAACGUAAUCAACUGUCAGGGUUCGUCACGCUGACGAGGACUCCAGAUCGUGAGAUCGUGAGAAAAACAUCGACACGAUCUAUGACGAGUCGCGUGUAACCAGAAUCUAAGAACGCUGUGACGAACAUUCAAGAUGGUUUUCAACAAACGCGAUCUCGAAAAAGCUUUUUCACCAAACAAGGCUCGAAAAACCGUGAAAAGACUUGGCAAUACACCCGGUGGGGGGUCGAGCUUAAAACCAAGCACAAGCGGCAGUACCGAUCGUCUAAGAAACGACAACGGCUCCGCUGCAACGAGCAUACGCGUUAUCGUGCGAGUGAGGCCACCCAAUGACAAAGAAUCACAAAAAGAAAAUCACCGAUCAGUCAUCAAAGUAAUAGAUGACAAGAUGCUCAUAUUCGAUCCCAAAGAGGAAGAAAGUCCUUUUUUCUAUAGAGGUGUUGCCCAAAAAGGCAGGGAUUUAUUAAAAAAGCAAAACAAAGAAUUGGAAUUCAUGUUCGACCGAGUAUUUGAUGACAGAUGUUCCAAUGCAGAAGUAUUCGAGGGCACUACCAAAGACAUUAUAGCGAGCCUCCUGGAUGGCUACAAUUGUUCUGUUUUUGCAUACGGAGCAACCGGUGCUGGCAAAACUCAUACCAUGUUGGGACACGACAACGAUCCCGGUAUUACUUUCAGAACAAUGUCUGAAUUAUUUGCUCAGAUAGAGGCUCAGAGUGAAAACAGAGAUUUCAAUUUGGGGGUCACUUAUCUCGAAGUUUACAACGAAAAUGUCUGUGACCUGUUGCACAAAUCUGGUCCCCUUGCUAUCAGAGACGAUGGUAGACACGGAAUCAUCGUAGCUGGUCUGAAAAUCAUAACUAUCUACAGUCCCGACGAGCUGCUCACGCUACUUGCCAGAGGAAAUAAGAAUCGUACUCAACAUCCGACAGAUGCCAAUGAGGAGAGUAGUCGUAGUCAUGCAGUAUUUCAAGUAUACGUCAAUAUAACAAACAAGCUGGACGGUCAGAAGAAACAUGUUAAAUUGUCAAUGAUAGAUCUGGCUGGAUCGGAGAGAGCCUCUGCGACAGGAUGCAAAGGAGCGCGCUUCAAGGAGGGUGCUAAUAUCAAUAAAUCGCUCCUGGCGCUUGGUAAUUGCAUAAACAAUCUUGCAGAUGGAAUAAAGCAUAUACCCUAUAGAGACUCGAAAUUGACACGGCUGUUAAAAGAUUCGCUCGGAGGUAAUUGUCAGACUGUCAUGAUCGCAAACGUCGGCCCUUCCAGUCUUAGCUUCGAAGAUACGUACAACACUCUGAGGUACGCGAAUCGAGCGAAGAAGAUCAAAUUGAACAUCAAAAAGAACAUAAUAUCGUGCCAGAUGCAUGUUACCGGUUACGUGAAAAUUGUCGAAGAGCAGAAGAAAGAAAUCGAAAUGCUCAAACAAAAAUUGUUGGCCUUGGAGAGACGGUCGAUCGAAGGAACGGUUGCCGGAUCACCGGACUCGAGAGCCACGAAAGACCCGAAAACCGAAGAGAUGGAGAAGGAAUUUUCCGAGAUGCGCGACAAGCUGAUCAAACUGCUUCGGUCAAAGGCGCAGCUGAACGAAAAGGUUUUAUCACUACAAGGCGCCGACAAGAUACUCUGUUGCCGAAUACAAUACAAAAUAGCGGCGGACAAGAGACUGAGGCACUUGACAGCGACGGUCGAUGCGAUGAGCGAGGAGGAGCAAAACGCUAGCGGAAAAUCGCGCGUAAACAAAUCUCUCUCUCAUUUCAAGCGUCAACGCGAAGUUGUUAAACUGCAGAUGCAAACGGCCUGGAAUGAUUUGCAAUCGAUCGAGAUGCAGAUAGUGGCGCUGAACGCGACUCUCGUAUCGAAAAAAUAUGCAGACAGAUUGAUCGAAACGAACAAGGUGCAGCAGUGCGAAAUUGAAAAAAUACGUUACCAGCAACAAUUUGAGCACGCGAAAAAGGUCUGCAGCCUUCAACAGUGCGAGUUACAAUCGCUCGAUACGAGCACCCGUACGAUGAGUUUAACCCUACAAAAUUAUUACAACAUAAUGCGGGGUUACGGGACUAUGACGGAUGAGAUGAGGCAACAAUUCAAACAACUGGUCAAAUCGCUCGAGGGUGUUCGCAACAUCAAGUGGGCGGAAUCAGAAGCGGGCAGUUACUCACCCGAAGAUUCGUACCUUCUUACCUGUCUCAGUACCGACGAGCUCGACGACCCAUUGAACAACGAAAUGCCGAUUUAUAAAGCUCCCUAUCUCGAGGAUGAAGAUACGAAUCAGCACAAUCAACAGACAAAAACCUCAACGAUACUCGUCAACGGCGGCAACACUACGACACCACCGCGCGAUUCGAAUAUGGAUCAGACCACGCCACCGCCACCCCUUUCUCUAAAUUCAACGAUAACCCUUGAUGACGAGGCUUUGUUGAUUAAGGAUAGUAAUGACGAAUCAACUCCGUCCCCUACCGAAAUCACUCCCGAGACUAUCAAAGCCAAUCAAUUGAACAAUACCUUCAAUCUCAUGGAAAAUAAAGUAGCAAAAAAGCGUACACUUGCGGAUAAGAAUCCAAUUGGCAACCAAACACCCGUCAAGCAAGCUAAAAAGAUAUCCCCGAAGCAGCGAACAGCCGCGACAGGCAGCAACGGGGUUCUUACUACUACUGGCAAAGAAAACAAAAACAACCCGCCGAACAGCACCACCAACAAACCUGCCUCGGUCAUGAGUGCCAAGAGCAUAGCGAUUCUCAAUAAACUCAAAGCUGACAGACUGAAGCUCUUGCCGCAGCCGUCGAACACCUCCACGGAAAGCGGAACUGGUGAUGGUUUGCUCUGCAACAAAGUUGUCAGGAUCAAAGAGCGACGAGGACUCGUCGGGACGCAUCCCUACCAGAAGACCAAUGCCAAGCCGAAGUGAGUUUCACUUGAAUAUUUUCUCAUCUACCGAGAGAGAUAUCAUUUGUUGUAUGAUAUUAUUACACCGAAGUACCUCGAGCGUACCGUCCUCCAGAGUACCCUGGUAGGGAAUUGUUAUUCUCAUUAUUAUCGUCCAACGCGCUCGAGCGCGUGUAUAACUCUAAUAAUUUUUUCAUUCAAACUAAGUUUCGAUUUAAAACAAACUUGUAUAUAUUAUAUAUAUUGAAUUUGCACAAGAAAAAGCCUUACAGAACUGAUAUAGCAUAGAGGAGUCGUACGAAAAGAAUAUUUAUAACCAUUUGUAUCCCUGGGCUCGCGUGCGCCAAGCUCGUGUAAAAGUCGAGACUAGAGCCAAUUUUUCCAAACGCUCGGUUGUUCCGAGCACCCACUUAAGUCCAGAUAAAUGUGACUAAUUACGAGAAAAAAGAACGUGUAUUGUGACAUUACACUCAAACGCGAUGCAUUAAUGAUGACCCUUGAAUGGUUGACUGUUUUUUUUCGAUUCAAUAUACAAUACGCCAGCUUGACAAUAAUAACUAAAACUAUUGACAUGAUUUUAUGAGCGAUAAAUGUUAUACGUAUAUUUUGUUUUAAAAAAGUAUCCGCUUCGACGGUGAAAAUAUAAUGAGAGAAAGAGUACGAUAGAUGAGCAGUUUUGUAUUUUGAUAAAAAUGAACAACUGUAUGCUUUGUAACAUUUGAAAAAAAAAAAAAAAAAAAAUACAACCAUCAAAAUAUUUAUGCAGAUGAAAUAAGGUUUCUGAUUUUGAAGAUUGAACAAAGUUCAACGUAGCGUUGUUUUACCGCUGCUGGUCUUCAGACCUUCGAAUAUUGCCCCGUUGCUCAAUGUAUCCUUCAAAAUAAAAAAAAAAUCUAA
RNAcentral lists this unclassified non-coding RNA (4010 nucleotides) under Venturia canescens. RNAcentral's name for it is "kinesin-like protein KIF18A, transcript variant X1". The record is from RNAcentral. Lineage: Eukaryota; Metazoa; Arthropoda; Insecta; Hymenoptera; Ichneumonidae.